RNAcentral lists this transfer RNA (73 nucleotides) under Anaerolineae bacterium. RNAcentral's name for it is "tRNA-Thr". It matches the Rfam family "tRNA". Rfam says of the family: Transfer RNA (tRNA) molecules are approximately 80 nucleotides in length. Their secondary structure includes four short double-helical elements and three loops (D, anti-codon, and T loops). Lineage: Bacteria; Bacillati; Chloroflexota; Anaerolineae. The record is from RNAcentral. RNAcentral also lists the same sequence under 1 other name.
GCCGGCGUAGCUCAAGCGGCAGAGCAACUGACUUGUAAUCAGUAGGUUAUGGGUUCAAGUCCCAUCGCCGGCU